CCAGAAUUCAUGGAUUGAUGGUCAUGCCUCCCGCUGCCUGUUUACCUCUGCGGGGGUCGCUAUGGGUGUGUGAGAGCAUUUCUAAGAAACUGAAGACAUAAUCAGCAUAAUUCAACAUUACAUUCUGACUAUCAUUUGACGUCAAGAUCAGCCUUCUCCUUUGUGAACAGUUCAGUCAGGUGAUCUUCCAGGUUAGAGAGGUGAGUGUAUGUCUAAAAGCAGCUCUACAGUUUCUCUAAAUAACCUUUUUUUUCCUACUGCUGUGUUCUCUGCUCUGUGCUGUAGUGGGUUUGUGCUCAGUGUGUUGUUUUAUCCUGACUGCGUGUGUGCUCGACGUGAAAACAAUGUUUGAUUCUGAGGACAGAUGGAGCUGCUUUCAUGUGGAGAGUGUCAAUUUUCCUGCAAAAUAAGAGUUUUUUUUUUUUCUUUUUUAAAUGUAGUUUGAAAACUGGAUUCUGUGUUCAGGGUUAAGAGAAAACAUUGGAGGGUUUGCAAUAAUGAAAAAAAAACUUUUAUCCAUUAUGUCAUUUUUUUAACCUUAUUUUCAAGGUUGAAACAUUUCCAUGCACCCAUCCUCCACUGCUUAUCUGGAGUCGGGCCAUCCUGCGCUUCCGGGGGGAAUCUGUGAAGGCGUUCCUAGCCAGCUUGUCCUAGGUCUUCCCCGUGGUCUCUUACCGUUGGGAUGUGCCCUGAAGACCUCACCUGGUUAGAUGUCUAAGCCACCUCAUCUCACCCCUCUCAACACGGAGGAGAAAUUCUACUCUGAGCCCCUCCUAGAUGACCGAGCUUCUCACCCUAUCUCUGAGGGAGAGCCCAGCCACCCUGUCGAGGAAACUCAUUUCAGCCACUUGUACCCAGGGUCUUGCUCAUUCAAUCAGAAAAGAACAAGAAAGGUCACUACCCACAGCAGUGCCUCUGCAUUGUCCGGAAGUUGUUCUCCAUGGUCUCAUUGAACUCCUCCCAUGUCUGGGUCUUAUCCACAGCAACCGCCAAAGCCACAUUCUACUUGGCCUGCUGAUACCUAUCAGUUGCCUCCAGAGUCCCACAGGCCAAAAAGACCUGAUAAGACUCUGUCUUCAGCUUGACGGCAUCCCUCACCACUGUUGUCCACCAAUGGGUUCAGGUAUUACCACCACAACAGGCGCAGACCACAUUAUGGCAACAGCUCUGAUCAGCCGACUCAACGAUUGAGGUAUGGAACUCACAUAACCACUGAAGGGGGUCCCAUGUUGCUUCUUUGGGCCCCAUGGGCAGCAUGCCUCACCACUGUUGUCCACCAAUUGGUUCAGGUAUUACCACCCCAACAGGCCCGACCACCAGGUGCUCGACAUCCAGCCCCCCAUCCUGAUACGUGAGUCCGGGUGAUCCUUAUUCAUCAUAGGGAUUUUGUGAGCUACAUUUUGUCUGGUCCCUACCCCAGGACCUGUUCGCCUCCUUGGGUGACCCGACCAGAGGCAUAAAGCCCCCUAACAACUGGUGGUAUCAUGGGUUGGUUGAAACAUUUUGCAUGUUUAUUUACUCUCAUUUCAAACUCUUUUACAGUGUUUCUCACUG
Molecule: long non-coding RNA, 1554 nt
Filed under: Xyrichtys novacula (pearly razorfish)
Lineage: Eukaryota; Metazoa; Chordata; Actinopteri; Labriformes; Labridae
Source: RNAcentral